Molecule: ribosomal RNA, 468 nt
Filed under: uncultured bacterium
Lineage: Bacteria
Description: partial 16S ribosomal RNA
Rfam family: Bacterial small subunit ribosomal RNA
Source: RNAcentral
GACGAACGCUGGCGGCGUGCUUAACACAUGCAAGUCGAACGGAAAGGCCCUGCUUUUGUGGGGUGCUCGAGUGGCGAACGGGUGAGUAACACGUGAGUAACCUGCCCUUGACUUUGGGAUAACUUCAGGAAACUGGGGCUAAUACCGGAUAGGAGCUCCUGCUGCAUGGUGGGGGUUGGAAAGUUUCGGCGGUUGGGGAUGGUCUCGCGGCUUAUCAGCUUGUUGGUGGGGUAGUGGCUUACCAAGGCUUUGACGGGUAGCCGGCAUGAGAGGGUGACCGGCAAAAUUGGGACUGAGAUACGGCCCAGACUCAUACGGGAGGCAGCAGUGGGGAAUAUUGAAGAAUGGGCGGAAGCAUGAUGAAGCAACGCCGCGUGCGGGAUGACGGCCUUCGGGUUGUAAACAGAUUUCGCCUGUGACGAAGAGUGAGUGACGGUAAUGGGUAAAGAAGCACCGGCUAACUACGUG